RNAcentral lists this ribosomal RNA (262 nucleotides) under uncultured bacterium. RNAcentral describes it as "partial 16S ribosomal RNA". It matches the Rfam family "Bacterial small subunit ribosomal RNA", at positions 1242 to 1500 of the family's 1533-position model. The record is from RNAcentral.
AAGGGCGAGCGAAGCCGAGAGGCGGAGCAAAUACCCNGAAAACCGAAUCGUAGUCCGGAUUGCAGUCUGCAACUCGACUGCAUGAAGUCGGAAUCGCUAGUAAUCGCGGAUCAGCAUGCCGCGGUGAAUACGUUCCCGGGUCUUGUACACACCGCCCGUCAAACAAUGGGAGUGGUGUUUACCAGAAGUCGUUAGCCUAACCGCAAGGAGGGCGGCGACCACGGUGAGCACCGUGACUAAUGUUAAGUCGUAACAAGGUAGC